ACCGAGAUCAUAAGACCAUACCAAAGUUUGACCGUGGUGCCAAAAAAAAUAGGUGACAGCACAAAAUAUUGGCCAUAUUUCAAGGAUUGUGUUGGAGCAUUGGAUGGGACUCAUAUAAAUGCAGUUGUAAGCGAUGAUGAUGGUGUGGCACAUCGAGGGCGUAAAGGAAAAAAAACAUGGAAUGUUUUGGCUGCCUGUUCCUUUGAUAGGCUUUUCACGUUUAUCAACGUUGGAUUUGAAGGUAGUGCUCAUGAUAUUACUGUAUGGAACCAUUGCUUAACUGUACCAGAAUUUCGAUUUCCCCAUCCACCUCCAGGAAAAUAUUAUCUAGUAGAUUCUGGAUAUCCGAAUACCGUUGGAUAUUUGAGUCCAA
Chenopodium quinoa (quinoa) is the source of this 373-nucleotide long non-coding RNA. RefSeq lists it as uncharacterized. The record is from RefSeq and is a predicted model, not a curated record. The transcript has 3 exons. Lineage: Eukaryota; Viridiplantae; Streptophyta; Magnoliopsida; Caryophyllales; Amaranthaceae.